UUGAAUACAAGGUGUUAGGAUAUGUUGCUGACCUCUUAAGGGGGGUAUGUGCACAUCUAAGCUACCAUCCUUUGACCACCUGUGCACUCUUUGUAGGCUGGGGAUUAUCUCUCGAGUAAAUACUCGGUUUGGGGAUUGCAGUGUAAAAGCUAGCUUUUCCUACAAAUUCUAGUCUACGUUUUCACUAUACUCCAUACAAACGUUAUAGAAUGUCUAUUUAAUAGGCCAUUAUGCCUUUAAAAUUAAUACAACUUUCAACAACGGAUCUCUUGGCUCUCGCAUCGAUGAAGAACGCAGCGAAAUGCGAUAAGUAAUGUGAAUUGCAGAAUUCAGUGAAUCAUCGAAUCUUUGAACGCACCUUGCGCUCCUUGGUAUUCCGAGGAGCAUGCCUGUUUGAGUGUCAUUACAUUCUCAAGCCUUUACAAUUUUCUUUAUUGAGGUUGGCUAGGCUUGGAUUAUGGGGGCUGCUGGUUUCUUAGAAAGAUCAGCUCUCCUUAAAUUAAUGAGUAGGACCUUUAUGGAUCAGCUUUGGUGUGAUAAUUUAUUUUACGCUUUAGUUGUGAAGUGUCUUUAUAUAAAGAGAGGUUCAGCUUCUAACUGUCUAUUCACUUGGACAAUAAAAUUAUUGAUACUCUGAC
Molecule: ribosomal RNA, 638 nt
Filed under: Pseudoomphalina umbrinopurpurascens
Lineage: Eukaryota; Fungi; Basidiomycota; Agaricomycetes; Agaricales; Tricholomataceae
Description: eukaryotic LSU rRNA
Rfam family: 5.8S ribosomal RNA (bases 250-403)
Source: RNAcentral